GGAGAAGGCAAAUGGCGGACUUCGACACCUACGACGAUCGGGCCUACAGCAGCUUCGGCGGCGGCAGAGGCCUUCAGGGAUGACUUCCUAGGCGGCAGGGGGGGGAGUCGCCCAGGUGACCGGCGAACGGGCCCCCCAAUGGGGAGUCGCUUCAGAGAUGGCCCUCCCCUUCGAGGCUCCGGCAUGGAUUUCAGAGAACCAACAGAAGAGGAAAGAGCACAGAGACCACGGCUCCAGCUUAAACCUCGCACAGUUGCAACGCCGCUCAAUCAAGUAGCCAACCCCAACUCCGCCAUCUUCGGGGGCGCCCGGCCCAGGGAGGAGGUCCAGAAGGAGCAGGAAUGAGCUGCCGUCGGGAGGGAGUGGGGCGUGGGCGCGCAGAGCGAGACCACGGCUGGCGGCCUCCGCACCAGCAGCCCUGCGGUCACCGCUCCUGCGCCUGCCCUCUGUCCUCCUUUCUUCCAGCGGAAACACAGCUUGUGAGCGCAUGUCAGCAGUGAACAAGUGGUUUUUAGCACAUCCUCGCCUUUGCUGUCUAGUGCCUGUUCCGUGCUUUUUUUUUCCGUCUGCCACUCCUUGCCCAUUUCCCUUCUGUCCUUUUUUCUGUUUUGCUCCUCCUUUCCUUCCAGCGCACGAGUGUCUCUGGCGCAGCGAAGGCGCCACCGUGUGGGAGCUCCUUGGAUCGAGGCGCUGCUUCGUGCUCUCCUUUGCUUCCUCUUUACUUUAGACGCACUGGCCAGGUCCAGUCGUUGCCUUUGGUUUGCUCAGUGCUUCUCUCCCGACCUGCAUGUUGAGUUCUGUAUUGCUGUGGCUUCCGAGAACAAACCAGAGGAGAAGUCACAGACUGGAGAGUCUCGUUUGUACUCAGCUGUGAUGAACAUCCAGAAUUUGAGACACCUUGUUUUCAAAGCAAGGAUAAAAGAUGUGUUGAUCCUCGCAGAUUCCUUCCUGUCCCUCUUUAUAGGUAGUCCUGUCUCUUACCCCCUCCCCACGUGGGUGAUUCGGGCAGAACAGGCUCGCCUUUCACACAUGAAACCUGAGGGAAGAGGGAGGUGGAAGGUUGGCGCGGCAUUCCCAGGGAGGGUCCCCAGGUUUCAUUAGUGCUCUUUCACAGCCGUGUCCAAACUCGUUCCCUCUUUUAAACCGCUGUGUUAGAGGCUGGAUCUAGCGAACAGCUGUCUGGUUUCCUUUCCACUGGGCAGAGGUGCUGCGGGGACAGAGGGUGUGGGCGGAGAGCCGCGCCAAGCCUGCUGGGUAGUGCAGACGCUGCUCUUGUCCACGCCCCUGUGGCUUGUGUUCAGCAUCUCUCCCUGUGUUUAUCUGUUCCUGAUAGAAGGAACAGAAUGAGAUGCAUGCUUCUCGCCCUCCCUUAAUUUCAUGAUGAAAAUGGACCUAGAAACUGGCACUUUACUCUGUUUCACUUCAUGAAUUGAGAAUGUUACUAUGCAGAGCUGCCAAGAAUCAUAAGAUAACUGGUAGGUGGCUGUGCGGCAUGAGGGCUCCCCCUUGGGGCAGUUUCUUGUUCCCACGUACAGUGUUCAGCAGUUCAGGGCUAGGGGCUGGGCACCUAUGUGAGAACAGAUGAAAGUUUUUAGCACCGAGUCCAGUCUGUCCCAUUGGGAGCAAUUUGGAGUGGGCUGGCCGCUUAGAGCCCUCCCCCGCGUGCGUGGAGGCCGAGGGCAGCCUGCCCGCGGCGCAGUGUGCUCCGGUUGUAAUUUGUCUCAGCAAUUCACAGAACUCUCCCUCCUUUCCUGCUUCCACCUGUCACCUUUGCUUCUGAAAUAAGAACCAUUUGUGUAACACCAGUACUUAACUUAAGAAAGACAUGCAUUCUGUGGUCGUAAUCAGACGAUGCUCUCAGAUGACCUACUCACAUCUCAGUGUGGAAAGAUUAAGAACACACACAAGUUCCUCUCAACUUCUGGGCAAUCCAGUUGACUUUUAAAUGUAAGAAUGGAAUUCCAAACACUUAACACAUUCAGCUAUAUGACAGAAAGUAAAUCUAUGGAUAUGGUAUUUUGUGAAUGAUCUUUUAAAUAAAAGAAAACCUUACGUAAAAAAAAAAAA
Molecule: long non-coding RNA, 2067 nt
Filed under: Equus asinus (donkey)
Lineage: Eukaryota; Metazoa; Chordata; Mammalia; Perissodactyla; Equidae
Description: lncRNA (ENSEASG00005027114.1)
Source: RNAcentral